GACGAACGCUGGCGGCGUGCCUAAUACAUGCAAGUCGAGCGAAUCUUGAGGUGCUUGCACCUCUUGGUCAGCGGCGGACGGGUGAGUAACACGUGGGCAACCUGCCUGUAAGACUGGGAUAACACCGGGAAACCGGUGCUAAUACCGGAUAAUCCUUUUUCUCUCAUGAGGAGAAGCUGAAAGUCGGUUUACGCUGACACUUACAGAUGGGCCCGCGGCGCAUAGCUAGUUGGUGAGGUAACGGCUCACCAAGGCGACGAUGCGUAGCCGACCUGAGAGGGUGAUCGGCCACACUGGGACUGAGACACGGCCCAGACUCCUACGGGAGGCAGCAGUAGGGAAUCUUCCGCAAUGGACGAAAGUCUGACGGAGCAACGCCGCGUGAGCGAUGAAGGCCU
This 398-nucleotide ribosomal RNA is filed under the name uncultured bacterium. RNAcentral's name for it is "bacterial SSU rRNA". It matches the Rfam family "Bacterial small subunit ribosomal RNA", at positions 28 to 417 of the family's 1533-position model. The record is from RNAcentral.